This 29-nucleotide small RNA is filed under the name Bombyx mori (domestic silkworm). Its description in RNAcentral is "piRNA piR-bmo-1592003". The record is from RNAcentral. Lineage: Eukaryota; Metazoa; Arthropoda; Insecta; Lepidoptera; Bombycidae.
GUUGCGGUUAAAAAGCUCGUAGUUGCAUU